CGGCAUCCCACACCACACACCAGUCCCCAUUUGUUCAGCCUGCUCGCCUCGCGGAGGUGAGGUCUCUCCCUCCCGCCCGCCGACAAAACCCUAGCCGGGCUCCGCCGCCAUGGACGCCGCCGCAGGGGGAGGAGAGGGAGAAGUAUUUGUCAACUACGCCCAAAUCGAGGAGUACUUCAACAACAUGGCACUGGAGGGCCCGUCCGCGCAGGACCGCGUGGACGGCAUCGUCUCCCAGAUCAUCUCCCUCCUCCCCGCGCCCUUCGUCUCCGCGCCCGACGCCGACGACUCCGACGACGACCACUUCUCCCUCACGUCCUCCGACUCCGAGGACACCGCCGCCGCCGCCGCCGACCGGCCCGCCGUACAUGAUGGUGACGGCCGGGACCACGUCAGCCACCUCCCGGACGACCUGCUCUGCAACAUCAUCUCCCGCCUCCCCACCAAGGAAGCCGCGCGCACCAUGGUCCUCUCCACCCGCUGGCGCUGCGUGUGGGCGGCGACCCCGCUCCUCGUCGACGACUCCCACCUCAGGGCCGCCGACGGGCCCCGCGAUUUCCACCCCGUGCGUGCGGUCUCGCGCUGCGUGGCCGCUCACCCCGGCCCCGUCCGUGCCGUGCGCUUCACCCGCACCUCCUUCUACCGGCAGAAGUACGCGCUCGAGCACCUGAUCGCCAGCCUCGCCGCCAAGAAGAUCCAGGACCUCAUCCUCUUCAAUCGCCCCUGGCAGCUCGACAUGCCGCUCCCCGACAACAUCCUCAACUGUGCUUCCCUCACCCGCCUCUACAUCGGCGUCUGGCGAUGGCGCUUCCCAGAUACGACCGCCAACUCGCCUGCCUUCCCCAACCUUCAGGAGCUCGGCCUUUUCCACACCAUCAUCAAGGACAGGGAAGUCGAUGCCUUGCUCCCGCACUGCCCCAAGCUGAAAAUCCUCUCCUUUGCCAUCGCGUACAUUAGCCGUUCACGCCUCCGCAUCAAGUCCAGCAGCCUCCGCGUCGUGAUGGAAUGGGGAUGCAGCUUAGAUGAAAUCAUUGUCGAGGAUGCCCCCUGCCUGGAGCGCCUGCUCUUCCAAAGCAUUUUGGACCGGAGGCCUGUCAAGAUUGUCUAUGCCCCUAGGCUGGAGGUGCUCGGCUACUUGGACCUUCAACUCCACGCUCUCGAGAUUGGUGGCAUGGUCAUCAGGGUAACUGCUUAUUGUAAUUUCUGCCAUCUGCACUUAGCAUUCAUUACGUGACUGUGCAACCAAACAAAUUUCUCAUUUUAUUUUUUUAUAAUUUGCCUCAAUGGCACGCUGGGAUGAAUGUGAGAGCUAGCGCCAUGCUGCCAAGUUUGAAGAUAUUAGCUGUCAAGGUCCGAUUUUCGCACGACAAGGAGGUCAAGAUGCUGCACACCCUUCUCAGAUGCUUUCCUCGCCUUGAAACACUUCACAUCAUGUUCAUUCAAUCCACUUCACCUGAUGGUGUACAUUGUGCUGAGUUCUGGGAGUCUCAGAGCUCUUGCGAUUGCCUCGAAUCACAUCUGAAGACGCUCGUCCUCCACGGAUUCCAGGGCCUGGACUGUGAGUUGUUGUUCCUUGGUUACAUCUUGAAGAAUGGGAAGGUGCUUAAGACGCUGGGAAUGGUUUGUAGAGGCAGUGAUGAUGUGGUAUCGGAGGGAGGCCGGAUGACAUGUUCUGUUGGCGAGGGCAAUGCGCCAUCGGGUGGAAGUAGUGGCAGUGAUGAUGUGGUGGUGGAGGGAGGCCCUGUCCCAGGUUCUGCUGGUGAGGGCAAUGUGUCAUCAGGUGGAAGCACCGACAGCCAUGAUGUGGUAAUGGAGGGAGGUCCCGUGCCAGGUUCUGUUAGUGAGGGCGAUGCGCCAUCAGGCAGAAGCACUGGCAGUGAUGUUAUUUACGUUUGCCCCGCCUCCCCUAGCUGGAGCUUUCAGAACGCCAUUGACUUGUCAGUGGAGGAUCCCUUCUGUGUGUUGAGGCGUGCCAGGGCCUGGAGGGCUUCUCGAGUUGAGGCAUGAGUAGUUUUUGUUUUUGAUGCUGGUGGUAUUUCACAUCGACAUGUUUACUUGAGCUGCUAAGGGUGUGGUAGUUUACUUAUUAGUUGUGCACUUCUGCAUAAUUUUGCGGUGAACUGAGAAGGUAGAAUGAGGCCAUGAAGGUCUGGAAGCUAUUUUUACUACUAGUAUGUUGCACUCUUUCUUGAGUUCUCUAUUGGGGAAGACUAAUGUGAUUCUGAGAUGUGGAAGUGCCCUGGCUGAAAAUUGUUUGGCCUUUUGGCUUGUAAAAGUACCCUACUAUCAGAUGCACAAUCUAUCUCUACUGAUGUUAUUUCAUCGUGUGUGCUCU
RNAcentral lists this ribosomal RNA (2335 nucleotides) under Triticum aestivum (bread wheat). RNAcentral describes it as "partial small subunit ribosomal RNA". The record is from RNAcentral. Lineage: Eukaryota; Viridiplantae; Streptophyta; Magnoliopsida; Poales; Poaceae.